CGGGUGAGUAACGCGUGGGUAUCUGCCUAUUAGUGGGGGACAACUUGGAGAAAUCCAAGCUAAUACCGCAUAAUCUCUACGGAGGAAAGCGGGGGAUCUUCGGACCUCGCGCUGAUAGAUGGGCCCGCGUCUGAUUAGCUAGUUGGUAAGGUAAUGGCUUACCAAGGCGAUGAUCAGUAACUGGUUUGAGAGGAUGAUCAGUCACACUGGAACUGAGACACGGUCCAG
RNAcentral lists this ribosomal RNA (228 nucleotides) under uncultured bacterium. Its description in RNAcentral is "partial 16S ribosomal RNA". It matches the Rfam family "Bacterial small subunit ribosomal RNA", at positions 103 to 334 of the family's 1533-position model. The record is from RNAcentral.